RNAcentral lists this ribosomal RNA (380 nucleotides) under uncultured eukaryote. RNAcentral describes it as "partial 18S ribosomal RNA". It matches the Rfam family "Eukaryotic small subunit ribosomal RNA", at positions 592 to 976 of the family's 1831-position model. The record is from RNAcentral.
CAAUAGCGUAUAUUAAAGUUGUUGCAGUUAAAAAGCUCGUAGCUGGAUUUGUGGCGUACGGUGUGUUCCGGGCACUUGUUGUCUGAGUAACCUGCUGUUGCCAUCCUUGGGUGGAACCUGUGUGGCAUUAGGUUGUCGUGCAGGGGAUGCCCAUCACUUACUGUGAAAAAAUUAGAGUGUUCAAAGCAGGCUUAUGCCGUUGAAUAUAUUAGCAUGGAAUAAUGAGAUAGGACUUUUUUGCUAUUUUGUUGGUUUGCGCAAAGAGGUAAUGAUUAAUAGGGACAGUUGGGGGUAUUCGUAUUCCAUUGUCAGAGGUGAAAUUCUUGGAUUUUUGGAAGACGAACUACUGCGAAAGCAUUUACCAAGGAUGUUUUCAUUAA